This 73-nucleotide transfer RNA is filed under the name Anaerolineales bacterium. Its description in RNAcentral is "tRNA-Trp". It matches the Rfam family "tRNA". From Rfam's summary of the family: Transfer RNA (tRNA) molecules are approximately 80 nucleotides in length. Their secondary structure includes four short double-helical elements and three loops (D, anti-codon, and T loops). The record is from RNAcentral. Lineage: Bacteria; Bacillati; Chloroflexota; Anaerolineae; Anaerolineales.
AGGCCAGUGGCUCAAUUGGCAGAGCUCUCGUCUCCAACACGAGCGGUUGUGGGUUCGAUUCCUACCUGGCCUG